UACGGAGGGUGCAAGCGUUGCUCGGAAUUACUGGGCGUAAAGCGCGUGUAGGUGGUUUCGUGUGUCUGAUGUGAAAUCCCCGGGCUCAACCCGGGAAGUGCAUUGGAAACUGCGAGACUAGAGUCCCGGAGAGGAAGGUGGAAUUCCAGGUGUAGCGGUGAAAUGCGUAGAUAUCUGGAAGAACACCGGUGGCGAAGGCGGCCUUCUGGACGGUGACUGACGCUGAGACGCGAAAGCGUGGGGAGCAAACAGG
RNAcentral lists this ribosomal RNA (253 nucleotides) under uncultured bacterium. Its description in RNAcentral is "partial 16S ribosomal RNA". It matches the Rfam family "Bacterial small subunit ribosomal RNA", at positions 524 to 776 of the family's 1533-position model. The record is from RNAcentral.